Long non-coding RNA from Myotis brandtii (Brandt's bat), 464 nucleotides. RefSeq lists it as uncharacterized. Lineage: Eukaryota; Metazoa; Chordata; Mammalia; Chiroptera; Vespertilionidae. The record is from RefSeq and is a predicted model, not a curated record. The transcript is spliced from 3 exons.
CAUUUAUUGAAUGCCUACUAUGGGCCAGAUGAACUCUAAUUUCUGGGCAGCCUCCCAGCGAUUAAUGCCUUUCCAUUUAUGACGUGAGAAGAAUGAGCAGCAUGUUACAGUUGGUCUUCUGUCCGUUUCUGAAGAGUGCCGUGCCAGGAUUUUGAUGUGCACUCGCGUUCUGGCACCAGGCGUCACACUUCUCACCCAGCACAGAGCCAGCUCACAGAUCCUGUUCGGCACAGCAACUCCAGACAUGCAGCCUGAAUUUGAAGGUGCCCUCUUAAAAUGUGGCAGGCACAGCCUCUCUCUUAGUAUUUGGAGCUCAGCUGCCUUCAGAGCAGCCUUGGAAGAGUUGUGUGUUACCUACUCACUGAAGCAAUCUCCCUAAAGCUCUUACUGGGAUUUCUCCCAAAUAAGCUUCUGGAUUUUAAGUUCUUAUCUUAGGAUCUGAUUUUUAGGGAAGCCCUUAACAA